CACCGCCGCGGUAAUACGGAGGGAGCUAGCGUUAUUCGGAAUUACUGGGCGUAAAGCGCACGUAGGCGGCUUUGUAAGUUAGAGGUGAAAGCCUGGAGCUCAACUCCAGAAUUGCCUUUAAGACUGCAUCGCUUGAAUCCAGGAGAGGUGAGUGGAAUUCCGAGUGUAGAGGUGAAAUUCGUAGAUAUUCGGAAGAACACCAGUGGCGAAGGCGGCUCACUGGACUGGUAUUGACGCUGAGGUGCGAAAGCGUGGGGAGCAAACAGGAUUAGAUACCCCCGUAGUCCCUGUCUCUUAUACC
This 301-nucleotide ribosomal RNA is filed under the name uncultured bacterium. RNAcentral's name for it is "partial 16S ribosomal RNA". It matches the Rfam family "Bacterial small subunit ribosomal RNA", at positions 510 to 808 of the family's 1533-position model. The record is from RNAcentral.